Ictidomys tridecemlineatus (thirteen-lined ground squirrel) is the source of this 72-nucleotide non-coding RNA. NCBI's taxonomy places the organism in Eukaryota, Metazoa, Chordata, Mammalia, Rodentia, Sciuridae. The record is from Rfam.
GGGGAUAUAGCUUAGUGGUAGAGCACUUGCCUAGCAUUCAGGAAACUCUGGGUUUGAUGCCUAGUUUCCCCC